This 870-nucleotide ribosomal RNA is filed under the name uncultured rumen bacterium. RNAcentral's name for it is "bacterial SSU rRNA". It matches the Rfam family "Bacterial small subunit ribosomal RNA", at positions 8 to 870 of the family's 1533-position model. The record is from RNAcentral.
AGAGUUUGAUCCUGGCUCAGGAUGAACGCUAGCUACAGGCUUAACACAUGCAAGUCGAGGGGCAGCAUGAUCUUAGCUUGCUAAGAUUGAUGGCGACCGGCGCACGGGUGAGUAACGCGUAUCCAACCUUCCCCUUAGUAGGGCAUAGCCCGUAGAAAUGCGGAUUAAUACCCUAUGUUGUAUAUUGAGGACAUCUGAUUUAUACCAAAGGUUCACCGCUAAGGGAUGGGGAUGCGUCUGAUUAGGUAGUCGGCGGGGUAACGGCCCACCGAGCCGACGAUCAGUAGGGGUUCUGAGAGGAAGGUCCCCCACAUUGGAACUGAGACACGGUCCAAACUCCUACGGGAGGCAGCAGUGAGGAAUAUUGGUCAAUGGACGAGAGUCUGAACCAGCCAAGUAGCGUGCAGGAUGACGGCCCUAUGGGUUGUAAACUGCUUUUAUACGGGGAUAAAGUGAGGGACGUGUCCCUUUUUGUAGGUACCGUAUGAAUAAGGACCGGCUAAUUCCGUGCCAGCAGCCGCGGUAAUACGGAAGGUCCGGGCGUUAUCCGGAUUUAUUGGGUUUAAAGGGAGCGCAGGCCGAUGGUUAAGCGUGACGUGAAAUGUAGCCGCUCAACGGCUGAACUGCGUCGCGAACUGGCUGUCUUGAGUGAGUUCGAUGUGGGCGGAAUUCGUGGUGUAGCGGUGAAAUGCUUAGAUAUCACGAAGAACUCCGAUUGCGAAGGCAGCCCACAAGGCCUUUACUGACGCUAAAGCUCGAAGGUGCGGGUAUCGAACAGGAUUAGAUACCCUGGUAGUCCGCACGGUAAACGAUGGAUGCCCGCUGUUUGCGAUAUACUGUGAGCGGCCAAGAGAAGUCGUUAAGCAUCCC